This 232-nucleotide ribosomal RNA is filed under the name uncultured bacterium. RNAcentral describes it as "partial 16S ribosomal RNA". It matches the Rfam family "Bacterial small subunit ribosomal RNA", at positions 1269 to 1500 of the family's 1533-position model. The record is from RNAcentral.
UACUCAAAAAAACAAAUACUCAGUUCAGACUGCAGGCUGCAACUCGCCUGCACGAAGUCGGAAUUGCUAGUAAUCGUAGGUCAGCAUACUACGGUGAAUACGUUCCCGGGCCUUGUACACACCGCCCGUCAAACCAUGAGAGUUGGCAACACCCGAAGUCGGUAGUCUAACCGCAAGGAGGACGCCGCCGAAGGUGGGGUUGAUGAUUAGGGUUAAGUCGUAACAAGGUAUC